CCCAUAAAGGCGAACUCACCAAGGAAUGAAGAAACAAGUUCGUCGGAUGAUAGAGGUGAAGCGCCUGAGAAUCAUUAUACCGGACUUACAAGUCGCCCCGGGACUGUCCCGGCCGCUUAUGACACCAUCGUGUACCAGAACAGCCCCGCAACACCUCAAGAAGGGAUUUAUCAAAAUGUGAAGCCAGCAGUAAAAACCAAACCAAAGCAUGGACGCAAAGGAAAGAAGCAUAACGAUGGGAAUAUCUAUGAAAACUGCUGACGGCCACGAGAUGGAGUAGACGCCAACUAUUACAAACCAACAACAGUGCUUCCUUAAGAGGGAGGAUAAAGAUGAGUGAGUGAGUUGGGUUUAACGCCGCUUUUAACAGUAUUCCAGUUAUAUCGCGGCGUGUCAGCUUAAUGUGGGAGGAAAGCCCGAAGUG
Long non-coding RNA from Haliotis rufescens (red abalone), 424 nucleotides. RefSeq lists it as uncharacterized. NCBI's taxonomy places the organism in Eukaryota, Metazoa, Mollusca, Gastropoda, Lepetellida, Haliotidae. The record is from RefSeq and is a predicted model, not a curated record. The transcript has 5 exons.